CAAAGUGUAGCUUAAAUAAAGCAUCUUGCUUACACCAAGAAAAUAUGCCACACCAGGUAUCGCUUUGA
This 68-nucleotide transfer RNA is filed under the name Flectonotus fitzgeraldi (Mount Tucutche treefrog). RNAcentral's name for it is "partial tRNA-Val". The record is from RNAcentral. Lineage: Eukaryota; Metazoa; Chordata; Amphibia; Anura; Hemiphractidae.